RNAcentral lists this ribosomal RNA (305 nucleotides) under uncultured bacterium. RNAcentral's name for it is "partial 16S ribosomal RNA". It matches the Rfam family "Bacterial small subunit ribosomal RNA", at positions 508 to 809 of the family's 1533-position model. The record is from RNAcentral.
ACAGCAGUCGCCGCGGGAAUACGUAGGGUGCGAGCGUUAAUCGGAAUUACUGGGCGUAAAGCGUGCGCAGGCGGUUCGUUAAGACAGAUGUGAAAUCCCCGGGCUUAACCUGGGAACUGCAUUUGUGACUGGCGAGCUAGAGUAUGGCAGAGGGGGGUAGAAUUCCACGUGUAGCAGUGAAAUGCGUAGAGAUGUGGAGGAAUACCGAUGGCGAAGGCAGCCCCCUGGGCCAAUACUGACGCUCAUGCACGAAAGCGUGGGGAGCAAACAGGAUUAGAUACCCCAGUAGUCCAUGUCUCUUAUAA